GUGGCCGUAGCUCAGUCGGUAGAGCGCUGGAUUGUGGAUCCGGAUGUCGCGGGUUCAAGCCCCGUCGGUCACCCCA
RNAcentral lists this transfer RNA (76 nucleotides) under Myxococcales bacterium. RNAcentral's name for it is "tRNA-His". It matches the Rfam family "tRNA". From Rfam's summary of the family: Transfer RNA (tRNA) molecules are approximately 80 nucleotides in length. Their secondary structure includes four short double-helical elements and three loops (D, anti-codon, and T loops). Further hydrogen bonds mediate the characteristic L-shaped molecular structure. tRNAs have two regions of fundamental functional importance: the anti-codon, which is responsible for specific mRNA codon recognition, and the 3' end, to which the tRNAs corresponding amino acid is attached (by aminoacyl-tRNA synthetases). tRNAs cope with the degeneracy of the genetic code in two manners: having more than one tRNA (with a specific anti-codon) for a particular amino acid; and 'wobble' base-pairing, i.e. permitting non-standard base-pairing at the 3rd anti-codon position. Lineage: Bacteria; Pseudomonadati; Myxococcota; Myxococcia; Myxococcales. The record is from RNAcentral.